This 1389-nucleotide long non-coding RNA is filed under the name Sus scrofa (pig). RNAcentral's name for it is "lncRNA (ENSSSCG00005000751.1)". The record is from RNAcentral. Lineage: Eukaryota; Metazoa; Chordata; Mammalia; Artiodactyla; Suidae.
GAUAAAAGUGAGAGCUUAAAAUUAAAAAAAAAAAAGGAGACUCUAGUCAGUUUGAUUUUAGGGGAUUCAUGGACAAAUUGUGACGACAUUCAGUCACGCCAGUGUUAUACUGAGAUGUUACAUCUGAGCUUGUCCAUUUUCAACUGAAUAUUGGUGUGCGUAGUGUAUACAUAUAAUGCCUGAUUUUCAGAGUCCUCUGUACAGUGAUAACCUAGGUCUCUCUCUCUCUCUUUUUCUUUUUUUUUAAAUUUUUAUUUUUUGCUUUUUAGGGCUGCACCUGGGAGGCAUAUGGAGAUUCCUAGGGCUAGGGGUCCAGUCGGAGCUGUAGCCACUGGCCUACGCCAGAGCCACAGCAACGCGGGAUCCGAGCCGCAUCUGCAACCUACACCACAGCUCACGGCAACGCUGGAUCGUUAACCCACUGAGCAAGGGCAGGGACCGAACCCGCAACCUCAUGGUUCCUAGUCGGAUUCGUUAACCACUGCGCCACGACGGGAACUCCCUAACUGGUUUUAUGAUAUUAGAAAAAAUGUUGCAAAACCUUUAAAGGAUGCAGAAUUGGAAGUUCUGAAGGUUCGGUACUUCAUGUCCCUCUUAGCUUACUCAGAGGCUGAGGGAUUUCCAUUCCUUGUAUUGCUCUGGGAGGUGCAAUAUAUUAUUUGGAAAGCUCUGAUUUAAAACUAAUAGAUAGGCAUGGAUUGAAUUCUCCUUCAGAGCUUCCAAAAGGAACCACCCUGCUGAUACUUGUAGCCACCAGAAUUAUGGAAGAAUAAAUUUCUGUUGGUUUAAGCCACCCAGUUUGUGGGACUUCAGUGCUUUGUUACAGGAGCCCUGAGAAACUUAGAUAGUAACCAGCUAUAAUUUUCUUAUUCAGAUAUUAUUUGAGCCUUCUUGUUGUGGCUACACGUAUAAAUGUGACUGAAAAGAGGAUCUUCUCCUCCUGUUUAUGAUAACCCUAAGUUUUAGAGCACUAAGUAUUGCUAGUCAUCAUUAUUUAGAUUCUUACACUAAACACUAAGACACUGGCUAUUAUAUCUGCUUUUAGAAUGAAGACACAGGGCUCAGAAAGGGCAACCCUCACAUAAUCUGAAUGUUGGUUUCUGACUAAAAGCCUGUAUUUUCUUUCCUGUUUCUCCAUGUACUUAGAGAAGUCAGUUUUUAUUGGUAGCAGUAGCUGGUAUUUACAGAUUUUCUUCUCUAACUCACAGUUUAGUUGUAUAAUCUAGGCAAAAAAACAGUGGCCUCUUGAGAGUUCCCUUGUGGCACAGCAGGUUAAGGAUCCAGCGUUGUCACAGCCACUGCUGUGGCUCGGGUCGCUAUUGUAAUGUGGGUUUGAUCCCUAGCCCAGAAACUUCCAAAUGCUAGGGCAUAGCCAAAAAAAAAAAAAAA